GACGAACGCUGGCGGCGUGCUUAACACAUGCAAGUCGAGCGGUAAGGCCCUUUCGGGGGUACACGAGCGGCGAACGGGUGAGUAACACGUGGGUGACCUGCCCUCAGCUCUGGGAUAAGCCUGGGAAACCGGGUCUAAUACUGGAUAUGACUCCAUGACGCAUGUUGUGGGGUGGAAAGCCUUGUGCGGCUGAGGAUGGGCCCGCGGCCUAUCAGCUUGUUGGUGGGGUGAUGGCCUACCAAGGCGACGACGGGUAGCCGGCCUGAGAGGGCGACCGGCCACACUGGGACUGAGACACGGCCCAGACUCCUACGGGAGGCAGCAGCGGGGAAUCUUGCGCAAUGGGCGAAAGCCUGACGCAGCGACGCCGCGUGAGGGAUGAC
Molecule: ribosomal RNA, 383 nt
Filed under: uncultured bacterium
Lineage: Bacteria
Description: bacterial SSU rRNA
Rfam family: Bacterial small subunit ribosomal RNA
Source: RNAcentral